CUGGGGUUAGAGGAAGAGCCCUGGAAAUGAAAGUGAUUAAAGGUGGUUGUAGCAGCAGAUAGGAAGGAAGUGAAGGUAGCAAGUAGGAAUUGGAAGAUCAUUCAGAUGUUUUGCGGAUCAUUCAGAUGUUUUGUACCACCUGGUACCCAGAAGCUGUCACUCUCCACCUGGUAACCUCCAAGACCAUCACAAAGGAGAUGAUCCUGUUGUGCAGCCACAGAAACUCAUCACCAAUCAGGGCGAGCCCUUCGUCUUCAGGCUAAAGAAGGACCUCUGUCGGCUACUCUAGGUGCAACACCUGCGCACCUCCGUCUACCUCCUCCAGAUUGUAGAAUUCAAACAGACCCUGAAGAGGAUGCUGCGGCAGGUUAUAGCAGAGAUCAGCCGCACGUGGGACCUAAUAAUCCUGAAUGUGCUGUUUUCGGAGUGUGAAAUCCCCCAGACCCCCACCGGUUUCUUUCUUCUGUAAAGACAUCUUAAUGAAAGUGGCAUUGUAGAGCUUCAGUGGAAAGAUACUUAUUAUUGACCUACAAGUGAAGAUGGGUAUUUUCAGACAUGGCUAUUUCUAGAUUCAACUUACUUUUAUCUUAAUUUGUAUGUUCUCCGACAUUUCACAUGCUGAUAGUUGAUGAUGGUCCUGUCUCAAUUUGCAUAAUAUCCAUACUAUGGUAUAUUUCAGAUAACGAUCAGCAUGCCCCAAACAAUAGUGGUUUACUAUUGUCCAGUACUAUUGCACAAGUGGAUUUUCGAAGUAUGUAACCGUCUAUGCUUUUUGAGGAAAUAUUGCCCACAACCACUUGUGCAAUGAAAGAGGAGAGCUUUGUGACAAUUCUCCCGACUUUGAGAGUUUUCAAAAGAACAUUCAUUCUUGAAAGCUGGAAUUCUUGGAGCUUGUUGGGUCAAAGCAAUUGUGGGAGUGAAUCACAGGCUCCAUUCACUGCUGUGGGCUUUAUCGGGAUGUGACAGCCAACGAUGGAUGGGACUGCAUGAAAGACAGUUGAGCAUGCCAGUCUGGCAAACCCUGUGCCCACCUACUCUACUUCCUCACACUCUGGGAGACAAACAACUUUUUUAACAGCCCUACUGACCAUGUGCACAAACGUGUGUAAUGUGGACCUAGGCAAGCAGCCAACACUUGAUAGGAUGCAGUAUGAACCAAGAAGUACAGGAACACAAGGACCUCCACCUCCUUGUACCACCCAUGCCGCGGUCACUUCCACUAUGGAUGCCUUAGUCAGUGGCAGGUCAGAACAGAGAUCAAUGUGUCCAUCAAAGCCUCAGGAUGGGUACAGUUGGGUUGAUGUGGCAGUGGGAGGUGGGGUUGCCAGGCUAGAAAACACAUAAAUAACAAGCUCCAGUCCAGUCAUGCAAGAGUUCUCUCUCUCCUUUUCCAUAUAAAAUAUUUAAUUUGAAUAUAUAAUACUAAGUAAAUACUGCUUUACACUAACUAAAUACUUCAGUCAAGAAUAUUAAUGAUCAGAUGAGAAUGUUUAAUUGUAUUCACUGUUUUAAUCUGCAAAACAUAGUGGAGUCCACACAACUUAAGGCAACGACACUUAAGCCAAGAACAGGCAAUGGCAACGUAAUAAAUGCAUACAGGGUUUAGAUUACUUACAGCAUUAUGGAGAGAAUCAUCAGUAGAGCCCUCCAGACCAUGGACCAGAAACUGACAGCUCUUCAACAAUGUGCAGCUUCAGUUUUUGCCAAAAUGGUAGGCAUUUGAUGUUUGACGAUUUAGCUCAAUGUUGGCUAGCUAAAUAUUCAAACUUGGCUGGGUUUUAAUAUGUAUCAAACUGAUCUAAUGUAUCUCCCAAUACUGGCUAAUUAAUUACUUAACAGUACAUACUUCAAGAUCACUGCAGUACGUAGUAUUCUGAAUGCAAAUGAAGGCAGGCCUAUGGGAGUUUGGUAUGUGUGUCACCAUUGAAACCACCAUUUUUACACCAGUAAAACAGCAUAGAUGACCAUUUAGAGAUGAAAUGUAUCAGUUUGUUUGAUCAGUGUUUGUGCGUCAUGUGCAUUCAUUGAAGAGUAAUGUUACUGAAAUAAAAGUGAAAUAUAUUUUGUAAUCUAAUCCAAUAUGUUUCCUGGAUGUAUUGCACCCAAUACUAAAAUGGCUGAACCACUUGUGGUUAUUCUCUUAAUACUGGCAGAAUGGUAUAAACAUUCCUACUCUAGAUGCAUGUAAUUUAUUUAUAAAGGAAUGCAUAUUGAGAACUGGUUCUACUUUACAAGUGUGCCCUGAUGAUACAUUGUAAUAAAUAAAUAAAAUAAAAAACAUUAAAAACAUUACAUUUAAAAUGAAACCACAAUAGUACAUAGCAAUAGAAUCCAGAUGAUAGUAAGUAUUAGAAAGACUGACAUGUCACAUAUGUAAUAAGUAAUUGGAUUAUAUUGGAUUAGUUUAUAAAAUGUAGGUCCCUCUGUUGGCCAAUGAGAUCAUAUUUUUGUAAAACAGGCUUAGACAUUGAGGCAGAGCUAUCAUAAUUAGCAAUAGACUUAGCACUUGACCAUGGUAAAGCCCUGCAUAUAUGUGCCUCUGUGUGACUGUAUGAAGAUUCAAACUUCAUAUGUUUCUAAUUUGGCCUAUUCAUGUUUUGUAACCUCAAAGAGAGUUAGUUCCUAUGACUGUUAUCAUAGUGCAAGGUUAUCCUGCUGGUGGUUCUGAAAUUAUGUCUUUGUGAGAAACUGUUAAGUAUUAUCAAAGAAAGUCAUUUUCUUGAUAAGACAAAGGUCGCAUUCUGUUUUUAUAUCACCAACAUUGAGGUUAUGGUUAAAUUCGUCAUCGGAAUGUAACCACAUAUGGUUUGUUGGCCUAUUUAAACUCUACAAUCAAGUUGCUGUAAUACGUGAAGUUAGAAUCCAUAAAUAUUUACUGCAAGGCAUAUUAUGAAACCAUGCAAUUUUUUCCCAUACCCUCUGACUUGUCUGCUUGAUUUCUACACUGUUACGUCUGCUCUUUACCAAUAACUGAACUUCCUGGAAUCUCACUGAAAGGCAACCUUAUAACUAGAAUAAGUUUCAAUCAGUUUUAGUUCUGGUUGCAGAUGAUAUGAAGUGUUGGAUGUCCCACUUAAGUCUGGUUUUGCAUUCAGAAUGACUGCCAGUGUUGGGAUGACUAACAUGGUCACACAGAAAGUUCAGUGUCUGAUGACUAAUCUAUAUGAUAAUACUGAGGCAGCUGUAAUGUCACAGGAGUAACCAACCUCAAGUUUCAGCAAGCCCCCUAUUCAUAUCAGCCCCUGUACACACAUACAGUAUGAUUGUUUUGCAUGCCAUGAUUGUAGGUUUGAUGAUAAUAUAACAAAAUUCCAAUGCAUUCUGCAAGGAGUGCUACAGUGCUAACAUAAAAAUACUCUGUC
Long non-coding RNA from Esox lucius (northern pike), 3362 nucleotides. The record is from Ensembl. Lineage: Eukaryota; Metazoa; Chordata; Actinopteri; Esociformes; Esocidae.